Ctenocephalides felis (cat flea) is the source of this 263-nucleotide long non-coding RNA. RefSeq lists it as uncharacterized. NCBI's taxonomy places the organism in Eukaryota, Metazoa, Arthropoda, Insecta, Siphonaptera, Pulicidae. The transcript has 3 exons. The record is from RefSeq and is a predicted model, not a curated record.
GGAGGAGCUUCAACUUGUGGAUCAAAACACAAUUGAUUUUGUAUUUAGCCAUCAGAGUCCAGCUAUGAAAAUCCAUUUUUGAUGAUGGUUUGGCCAAAGAAUUUUGCUAGGGACGAGGAAAGGGCAAAAAUAAAUUUUGUGAUCUAGUGCCUUGCGAUGUCAUCACAGGAAUUGCUUUGAAAAAUUUGCCGCAUGAGACAUAGUUUGCUGUUUUAGAGGCUGCAAAAAGCUGGCUGCGACGUGCCAAUAAAUAUUAUACAAGG